Molecule: ribosomal RNA, 297 nt
Filed under: uncultured eukaryote
Lineage: Eukaryota
Description: partial small subunit ribosomal RNA
Rfam family: Eukaryotic small subunit ribosomal RNA
Source: RNAcentral
AGCUCCAAUAGCGUAUAUUAAAGUUGUUGCGGUAAAAAGCUCGUAGUUGGAUUUCUGUUGAGGACGGUCGGUCCGCUCUAUGAGCGUGUAUCUGGCUUUUGUCCUCGGCAUCCCGUGGGAAAGCGGUCUUGCGCUUAAAUGCGUGAACCGGUCUACCCACGCUUUUACUUGAGGAAAUUCGAGUGUUUACGGCAGGCAUUGUCCGCUGUGAAGAUGUUAGCAUGGAAUAAUAAGAUAGGACCUUGGUCCCAUUUUGUGGUUUCUGGAACUAAGGUAUGCACGGUUAAUAGGAACAUU